This 464-nucleotide ribosomal RNA is filed under the name uncultured bacterium. RNAcentral describes it as "bacterial SSU rRNA". It matches the Rfam family "Bacterial small subunit ribosomal RNA", at positions 29 to 506 of the family's 1533-position model. The record is from RNAcentral.
AUUAACGCUGGCGGCGUGCCUUACGCAUGCAAGUCGAACGGUCCCGAUAGCUUCGGUUGUCGGGAUAGUGGCGGACGGGUGAGUAACACGUAGGCAACCUGCCCGAAAGUGGGGGAUAACUUCGCGAAAGCGGGGCUAAUACCGCAUGUGGUCGGUCCCAGCCUGCUGGGACCGAUUAAAGCCUUCGGGUGCUUUCGGAGGGGCCUGCGGCCGAUUAGCUAGUUGGUGGGGUAACGGCCUACCAAGGUGACGAUCGGUAGCUGGUCUGAGAGGACGAUCAGCCACACGGGGACUGAGACACGGCCUCGACUCCUACGGGAGGCAGCAGCGAGGAAUUUUGCGCAAUGGGCGAAAGCCUGACGCAGCAACGCCGCGUGGGCGAUGAAGGCCUUCGGGUUGUAAAGCCCUUUUACGGGGGAAGAAGUUCUGACGGUACCCCGCGAAAAAGCCACGGCUAACUACGU